RNAcentral lists this unclassified non-coding RNA (323 nucleotides) under Hevea brasiliensis (rubber tree). The record is from RNAcentral. Lineage: Eukaryota; Viridiplantae; Streptophyta; Magnoliopsida; Malpighiales; Euphorbiaceae.
UUAACCUUGUACCAAACACUUCCUUAGAGUAAAGCUCUCUCUUGAGGAAGCAGCAUAGUGUGAUAAUGUACACAAUGUUUUGUCCAGACCAAAAAAUAUGAUCAAUAGAUUGACUACUACUACCACACAUGAUCUACAAAAAUUGAUGCAUUAAUGACUGUAGCAAAGGUUGUUAGUAUCAACCAAGAUGAAGAGGUUAUCCAUGUAAAUUAAAGGAUAAUAGCCUCAAGUGAAGAAAGAUGCAGAAUCACCUCAAUCCCCAAGUAAUUGAGAUCAGCUAAAUAAAUCAUUCUCCUCCAUUCACUUGAGAAGCACCAUUGAAA